UUUUUUUGAGUGAAUUUUCCGCAAAAUUUUAUUUCGUUUUUUUUUUUGCUUCUCUUCAUAAAAUUUACAUUUUAGUUAAAAAUAUAAAAAAAAAAUUGUUCUGGACUUAUUUAAUAAACAUCUUAGUCUAAAAUAUUUAGUAAAGUCUUAUACUUGCAACAGUUAAUAACUGUGUCCUAAACACUUUUCAAAUCAAACAAAUAUAAAAAUACUUAAAAAGCAAUCAACAUGAGUGAAGGCAAAAGUUUAUUGUCCACCUUCGCCAUUUUGGCCGUUUUAUUGACUUUCUUGUACAUUUUGUACGCCAUCUUCUAGACAGGAACUACGUUUAUUUAAUGAUGACAACAAUUACGUUAAUUAGUUUAUAGACGUUUUUUAAUUUAGCAAUAUGUUCCACACGAUCAGUAAAUGAAAAAAAUCCCUUUUCAAAAUGAAUGAAGCCAAAAGUUUAUUCACCACCUUUGUCAUCCUUGCUCUUUUGUUGUCAUUAUUGUACAUUUUCUACGAAAUCGCUUUCUAAACAAAAAUUUUCUAACGUUUUAUUUAAAUUAAUUAAUUAAUUUUCUUAAUAACACAAAAAAAAAAAUCAUGUCUUGAAAUAAUGUUUUUAUUAUAAUAACAACAACAAAAAAAGUAACCGUUGCCUUUAUAUCAAAAAGAAAAAAAAAAAAAUGAAAAUAUUCCAAAUAUUGCCGUAAAAUUUAAGAAGAGAAACUUAAGCAGCUAGUAAUCGUAAUGGAUUUUAUUCUAACAACAAAAACACUAUUAGUUUUAUAAGGAGAAAAACAACAAAAUUAAAGUUGACGUCAUGACAGUGCUUUGAGUUGCUGUAGCUUAAUAUGCCAAAAACAAAUUAAGAGCUUUUGAGGUCAACUUUAUGUAGGACUUUUACCUUUUUUUUUAAUAUUUCUUUAUUUUUUACUAAAUUUAGUAUGUUAUACUUAAAAUAAUUGACUUUAUGUACAAGUCUUUGUUUUUUUUUUUAUUAUAAUUAGUUUAUAUUUUUAUGAAAUACAUCAAACCAAAAAGCCUUUUAUAGUAAUUUUGUUUUGUUAAAAAGAAACUUGAAAAAAUUACAUCCUAAAGAAAUGUUUACAAGAAAAUGGUAUCUGUAAAAUAACAUCUGAAAAUUUCUUUAAAUCGGUUUUAUUGAAAACAAAAUAAAAUUAUGAAAAAAAAUCUA
This is a long non-coding RNA of Lucilia sericata (common green bottle fly), 1183 nucleotides long. RefSeq lists it as uncharacterized. NCBI's taxonomy places the organism in Eukaryota, Metazoa, Arthropoda, Insecta, Diptera, Calliphoridae. The transcript has 5 exons. The record is from RefSeq and is a predicted model, not a curated record.